GCGCUGCGGGUCCGCUGU
RNAcentral lists this microRNA (18 nucleotides) under Ciona intestinalis (vase tunicate). RNAcentral's name for it is "cin-miR-4103-3p". The record is from miRBase by way of RNAcentral. Lineage: Eukaryota; Metazoa; Chordata; Ascidiacea; Phlebobranchia; Cionidae.